UUCGUAGGCGGUGCGGCAAGUUGGGAGUGAAAUCUCUGGGCUUAACUCAGAGGCUGCUUUCAAAACUGCCGUGCUCGAGUGCGAGAGAGGUCAGUGGAAUUGCAGGUGUAGCGGUGAAAUGCGUAGAUAUCUGCAGGAACACCCGUGGCGAAGGCGGCUGGCUGGAUCGCAACUGACGCUGAGGAACGAAAGCUAGGGGAGCAAACAGGAUUAGAUACCCUGGUAGUCCUAGCCCUAAACCAUCAGAACUUGGGGUGGCCCGCGUAGGCGGGUCGUCCCGUAGCUAACGCGUUAAGUUCUGCGCCUGGGGAGUACGGUCGCAAGACUGAA
This 330-nucleotide ribosomal RNA is filed under the name uncultured bacterium. RNAcentral's name for it is "bacterial SSU rRNA". It matches the Rfam family "Bacterial small subunit ribosomal RNA", at positions 568 to 898 of the family's 1533-position model. The record is from RNAcentral.